This is a long non-coding RNA of Arabidopsis thaliana (thale cress), 3225 nucleotides long. RefSeq annotates it as other RNA. NCBI's taxonomy places the organism in Eukaryota, Viridiplantae, Streptophyta, Magnoliopsida, Brassicales, Brassicaceae. The transcript is spliced from 2 exons. The record is from RefSeq.
UUCUGUAGCUAAGCAAUCUAUCCGUUGGUUAUUGACUUGUUUGUUGCAGCUAAAUCUAGCUAGUGAGGUUGAUAAGUGAGAAAUGCAGCUUCUUAAGGUUCUUGAUACCAAUAGAGAUGAUAUUGAGUGAAGACCAAGUUUUUUAAAAAGGUGUUCUCCCGGGGAAAGUUGCAGUUGUUCAGCGACACAAUAGAUAAAAGUAACUCAACAGAAAGACAGAUUCUCAAGAUGAGAGACCCAAACAAUACUAUAAAAGAGAAGACACUUAUUAUUGAUCAUUUUUUCAGCGGAGAAGAAAAGCAGGAAAAGAUUCUCAUGAACCAGUCACGUUUAUAUGAAGUGAGAAUGUGGCCGAUGGCAAGUCCACAAAACAAACCAGGUACAUAGCCUAUUGCAGCUGCUACCCAGCUUAAUCCUUUAUCUUUCUCUUCCUUUUCUUUAUCUUCUUCUUCUUCUCCACCGCAUUUUUUUUGGAGAGGAGCACCGCAAAGCCCGGGAUUCUCUGCGAAAGAAGAACUGUUCUGGCUUUGAAUCUGAGUGCCUUGUGGUAUUGGACCUUCAAGCAUGUUGUAAGAGAAGUUCAUCCGCGCUAGAAAUGUGAGUUCCCCGAGCUCUCCUGGGAUACUGCCGGAUAAUCUGUUUUGAGAUAGAUCCAAUGAUUGGAGAUUGCUCAAGUUUGAUAGAGAUGGUGGAAUAUGGCCUGUGAAUGCGUUGUUUGACAUGUUGAGCACAAUCAGUUCCUUGAGUAUACCGAUGGAUUCUGGAAUAUCUCCUUCAAGUCUGUUUCCGGAGACAUCGAUGGUCUUGUAGAUUUCGAAACCACUCCCUACCAGUUCCAUAUUCAAUCCUUUGAUCGUCAGAACCACAGAUUUAUGAAAGGAUUCUUGGUCAUCUCCUACAACCGUAAAUCCAGGCGUAUUAUCAAUAAUGUCUACAAACGAUGACAUUACACUCCAACCAACAAAGUAAUCUGAUGGCAAGACUCCACUGAAGCGAUUUUCUGAAAUGUCAAAAAAUCGUAGUUUGGAGAAACUUAAAGAAUCUCCAGGAGAAAAUAUUGGCCCAUGGAACUCGUUAGAACGAAGGACAAGCAGCUGUAGAUUGGGCAAUGAUUUCAACCAGGAUGGAAAUGUGUCAUUGAUUCGGUUCUCUUCCACGUUCAGAAACUGGAGAUAACUGCAGUUGAUCAGUGACUUGGGAAAUUGUCCUGAUAACCGGUUGCUACCAACAUCUAGUGAUCUCAAGUAACCAUGCAGAGAUUCCUCUGGAAUAACACCAGAGAGACUGUUAUUUCGAAGAUGCAAGAUCGAAAGAGUUUUAUUGGAAAUCUCAAAACACGGGGGAAUAGAACCGCUGAAGUUGUUGUUGGACAAAACAAGUGUCCCAAUUUCGCAUACUGCUCUAGGAAUCUCUCCUGAAAACUUAUUAUCAGAGGCUAUAAAGCUAUAGAUAGGAUUUGGUAACAUAGUUAGUUCUCCACUGAAGGCAUUCUGAGCAAUGUUUACAUACCUCAACGUUGGUAGUCUCCAUAACCAUUCUGGUACUUGGCCUUCAAUUUGAUUGGCAGAGAUGUCUAAAUGAUACAAACUGGUUUGGUUUUCCAGAAACUUAGGAAACUGAGAAAUAUUGCAGGAUGAUAAAAUCAAGUGCAUCAUAUGUGAGGGAAGAUGGUGCGAUGAACUGAUAUUCAAAUUAAUCCCUGAAAGAUCAAGUGACCUAAGAGACUUGAGCUGCAAGAAGAUGCUGAAAUCAACAAUGCCUCCUGUGUCCCAGAAAGAGAGGCUAAGAGCCGAAAGCCCGACUAGUUUCAAUAUAGAUCUUGGAAUUGGCCCAUUGAUAUUGUUUUCUCCAAUGUAUAAUUCUUGAAGGUUAGAUGGUGAAGAGAUAUUCCCAAUCUUAAGUGGACCGCUGAAGUCGUUUGUUCCCAGGUCAAGUUUAAUCAACGAAGGGAGCAUGAAGAGAGAAGAGGGGAUGGUUCCAGAAAAUGAAUUUCCACUAAUAUCAAAAGCCUCCAGUUUGGAAAGGCUACUCAUGUUAGAUGGGAGCAUAGCUUUGAACUGGUUAGAACUAAGGUCGACAUUGGUGAGUGAGCUCAAGUUGAGUAGCAUAAGUUGAAAAUCUGUUAGUCGGUUUAGGCUGCUCAUCGAAUCUGGUCCUUCACUGGUGAACUCAUUUUUAGAAAUAUCAAGAUCAGUGAGAUUAGAAAGACUUCCGAGUGAAGUAGGAAUCUUUCCAAAGAAAUUGCAACGAUGAAGAUUCAAAACCCUCAAAGAUUUGAGAUUGCCCAUCGAAUCUGGUAACUCACCGGUGAAAUAAUUCCAAGAAAGAUCAAGAUCAGUGAGAUAAGUAAGAUUUCCGAGUGAAGAAGGAAUCUUUCCGGUGAAUUUGCAACUAGUAAGACUCAAAACCCUCAAAUGUUUGAGAUUGCCCAUCGAAUCCAGUAUCUCACCGGUGAGAUCAUCAUUAUAAGAAAGAUCAAGAUCAGUGAGGUAAGAAAGACUUCUAAGUGAUGUAGGAAUCUCUCCAAAGAGAUUGCAACCAAGGAGGUUCAAAACUCUCAAAUAUUUGAAGUUGCCGCUGGAAUCUGGUAGGGUACACGAAAGAUCAUUGUAGGAAAGAUCUAGGCUCUGAAGAUGUUGUAGUCUAAACAGGCUGCUAUUAGAUCUCAGACGGCCAUUGAGAUCACUGUUUCCGAGGUCUAACUCAACCACCACUCCCGUCUUAGGAUCACAAGAGAUACCACCCCAAGAACAGCAAUCAGUGUUGUUCCUCCACUUCGCUGUCGUCUGAAGAAUCAGCAUCAAAUCAGAAUCGGGGCUUGGGAUAGAGAACUCGUUCUUGAACUCCAAAAGAGCAUCCCUCUGGUCUGGAAGACACAAGUCUUUAGCAAUAACAAGUAUUGAGUUUGAAAGGCAGAAGAUUAAACACAAGCUCCAUAUUAUUGUUAUCAUCUUGCUGUAGAAUGUUUUUUCUGUGAUUGGUUUUUAUUUAUUUUCUGUGAAACGAAUUGAUCAUUGGAUUGUCUCCAUAUUUUCGAAAUAAAUUAAAGCUUGACUUGAAAAUUCUUCUGUAAAGACUAAUCGCUUCCACAGAAAAUCGAAUAUUCCUUUGACUAUUCAUCGCAGUUCUCUUGCCGUGUGGUGGAGGUUAAUCUUUGAGGCUUUUGUUGCAUGUGUUCCCUCGUUCUAGAGAUUGAAAUGCCGUGUGAGAAUGAAACUGGAACCU